Molecule: ribosomal RNA, 65 nt
Filed under: Fusarium oxysporum
Lineage: Eukaryota; Fungi; Ascomycota; Sordariomycetes; Hypocreales; Nectriaceae
Description: partial 18S ribosomal RNA
Rfam family: Eukaryotic small subunit ribosomal RNA (bases 1-55)
Source: RNAcentral
CGAAGUAAAAAGUCGUAACAAGGUCUCCGUUGGUGAACCAGCGGAGGGAUCAUUACCGAGUUUAC